UUAUAUGGUCGCGCUACAGCAUGGUAAUCACGCCGGUAAGAUUGGAAUUUGAUGAAAUCUGCCAUAAACUGAGAUAAAAGAAGGAUGGUGUGUUAGCUAUGACAGUCUCAUUUUAUGCUCAUUUGAAGUAAUAAUGUAUCUUGUAAACAUGGCAGAUGUUGGUUAUACCAUUAGCUUAUUCCUUUUUUAUUGUUCAAUAUUGGCUUUCAUGCAAUACAAUCUUGGUUAACUCUGGUUGUUUACUGAUCUUAAUCAUAAUAGUUUAGCUCCAAGUUAUUUAAAUGGGUGAUUUAUUGUCCUCUUGGAGAAAGCUUUUGUUGGUUUUAAUUCUUGUUAAACUUUGAUCUGAAUUGCAGAAAAAUUGGAAUCUAUUUAGUGUAAACGUUGCAAUGGCCGCGACAGGCCUCUACCAACUCUCACGCAAAUUAAAGUAAGUUCUAUUCAAAUUACUGUCAUCCGUUUCCAUGGAACUCAUGGCUUUAUGGUUCAAAGUACUGGCAUAGGAAGGUUAGAAUCUCUUUCUAUAUUUUUUUCCCUUGUUCCAUCAAAUGUGUAAGAAAAUGGGGGGGUGCCUCGCUUCUUCCUAGAAUCCAUCCAUUCCAAUACCAGUAAGAUUUGAAUCCAAGAUCUCCUCAUGGAAAUGUUAAGCUCUAACUGACACCCAAUCCAAUAUUCUUGCUUAUCUAUUGUGCUAUUGCUUAUAUAGAUGAUAUCCCCAUUAGAUACCUCUAAUUAAAUGUUUCCACAUUUCUAGGCAUGAUUACUUUUCUGAGGCAGAAGCUGCUGCUGCAAAGGAAUGAAGAUGAAAAUCUGCUAAAGUUCCUCUGGUUUCCUUCAGUGCAGAAGCCGGUUUGCCUUCUCGCCUUGCAAUUAGUUCAACAUUUUCAAUCUAUGAUUUAAGUUUGUAUCUCUCUGGAGCUUUCUACACUUUGGUAUUCUAUGAUGUAGAAAUUGUAGGCGGAUGUUGACUGUUGUGCUUGAAAGGCCAGAACAUUAUGAACAGGAAAAGUUAUUAAUUGACCAAAUAAAAUAUUUUUCAAAUCUCUUUUUGUUCUGUCAUGUUCAUUCUGUAGUCUUUGAGUGAAUAAUUUAUUUCAUUUCGCAAACAAGCAAUAUUGGCCAGCACAAUAUUGUAGACUUGUUAUUAAUUAAUUGUUAAGUUAUUUUUCUUGUUAAUGGAACAUUUUUUUUUCAAUAUAACUCACGAUAUGUGUGUAUGUGUUUUUUUCGUUUGGCUUAAUUAUAAAUUUAUUGUGUGAAUUUUAGAAAACUUUCUAGUCUCGAAAAAAAAACAUUUGCAAUUAAGUGAUUUAUUGUGUGAAUUUUAGAAAACUUUCUAGUCUCGAAAAAAAAACAUUUGCAAUUAAGUGACGUAACAGAUAAACUUAUUAAAAGCCACUAACUAGAAGAACCUCUAUACAAAUGUAACAAAUAGAAUAACCUAACAUAGCAAACGCCCAAACAAACUAAGUCAACAAAUAAAUCAGAUUAAAAUUGGAAAAAAAAAUAAGAAGAAGAACAAAGUACAGGUAGUCCGAUAUAUAAGACUGCACUGAUAUUACUGGUCUGAAGAUAAUAUAAAUUGAAAGAAGAAGAGAUUACCAAGAGAGAAAAGAGGGAGUGGAUCUAAGAAAGGAAUGACUUUGUUUUUGUCGUUUGGCGCUCUUUCGGCAUCGAAGGGAAGCCAAAUGGCUUAGGACAUUCCAACAUACUUUAUGAAAUCUCCCUAGUCAUCAUUGUCGUUGCUUGAAGCCGAAUCUCGGCCAUUGACAAAAGUGAUAUUGGAAUGGACUGUCGGAUUCGAUGGCGCGACCCAAAACUGAUUGCAAAGAUUGGUAUAAGAGGAAGGGCGAGGAUGUCCCUGACUCAGCUAGUGCAAUAAAACUCGCCAGCGGAGGCGGUGGUGGCCGGAGUCACGAACUGCCCUCCUCUUACUUGUCCUUUCGCGCAAUAGAGGGUCAAAGGAAGAAUCACUUUUGGGUCACGAAAAGUGACCAAAGGUGAUGGUCGCUUAUUGCUUCGCCGGUGAUGGUGGCGCUAGUAACCGGGACCAAGCUGGGGUUCAUGGAGAAAGAAGAACGAAGAGGAUUGUAGAUGAUUUUUUGUUCGGUUCGUAUUAAUUAAGCAAUAUCAGUUUGAUGUACUUCACUGCUGGGCAUGUCAAAUCCGACGUAUCAAUCUAUUUGACUAACGGCAAUUUUAACAAUUAGUAUGUCCCACGUGUCCUGCUCAUUUUUUCGGUAAACCACG
RNAcentral lists this long non-coding RNA (2250 nucleotides) under Jatropha curcas. RNAcentral describes it as "long non-coding RNA (JCUR_LNC002747)". The record is from RNAcentral. Lineage: Eukaryota; Viridiplantae; Streptophyta; Magnoliopsida; Malpighiales; Euphorbiaceae.